Non-coding RNA from Vicia faba (fava bean), 321 nucleotides. NCBI's taxonomy places the organism in Eukaryota, Viridiplantae, Streptophyta, Magnoliopsida, Fabales, Fabaceae. The record is from the annotation of a GenBank genome assembly.
AUGUCAACCAAGACAACAAGUGCAAAGAAAGAUGCAGAAGGAACAGGUAAGAAGAAGAGUGUAAUAGUUGGACCAUGGGGAGGCAAUGGAGGGGCUAGUUGGGAUGAUGGAACCUUUACAGGGCCGAUAAACAUGGAGGAGUUGGAGGCAACAAAACAGCCGAGGUGCAAAAAGGCUUCUAUAGGCUUACAAGCAUUGCUCCGAAAUCUUCAUCUACCAAGGCUGGUGAGAAGACUAUGGGAAUUUAAGAUCCUUGCCUGUUUUUUUUUGUUCUUUGAAGCUUAUGAUACUGUGAAAAUCGCACGUGACAGAUCCAUGUAG